CCAGACUCCUACGGGAGGCAGCAGUGAGGAAUAUUGGUCAAUGGCCGAGAGGCUGAACCAGCCAAGUCGCGUGAGGGAAGACGGCCCCACGGGUUGUAAACCUCUUUUGUCGGGGAGCAAAGCGAGUCACGUGUGACUCAUUGAGAGUACCCGAAGAAAAAGCAUCGGCUAACUCCGUGCCAGCAGCCGCGGUAAUACGGAGGAUGCGAGCGUUAUCCGGAUUUAUUGGGUUUAAAGGGUGCGUAGGCGGACUGUUAAGUCAGGGGUAAAAGCCGGGGCCCCACCCCCGGCGAGCCGUUGAAACUGGCUGUCUUGAGAUGUCGAGAGGUAUGCGGAAUGCGCAGUGUAGCGGUGAAAUGCUUAGAUAUUGCGCAGAACUCCGAUUGCGAAGGCAGCAUACCGGCGGCGAUCUGACGCUGAGGCACGAAAGCGUGGGUAUCGAACAGGAUUAGAUACCCCAGUA
RNAcentral lists this ribosomal RNA (463 nucleotides) under uncultured bacterium. Its description in RNAcentral is "bacterial SSU rRNA". It matches the Rfam family "Bacterial small subunit ribosomal RNA", at positions 331 to 792 of the family's 1533-position model. The record is from RNAcentral.